AGUCAGGUGACCGAGCGGCUUAAGGUACCGGUUUUGAAAACCGAGAUUCUUUUUCUAAGACGGGGGUUCAAAUCCCCCCCUGAUUG
This 86-nucleotide transfer RNA is filed under the name bacterium. RNAcentral describes it as "tRNA-Ser". It matches the Rfam family "tRNA". Rfam says of the family: Transfer RNA (tRNA) molecules are approximately 80 nucleotides in length. Their secondary structure includes four short double-helical elements and three loops (D, anti-codon, and T loops). The record is from RNAcentral.